This is a long non-coding RNA of Gymnodraco acuticeps, 841 nucleotides long. RefSeq lists it as uncharacterized. The transcript is spliced from 3 exons. Lineage: Eukaryota; Metazoa; Chordata; Actinopteri; Perciformes; Bathydraconidae. The record is from RefSeq and is a predicted model, not a curated record.
AUCGACAUAGCAUAGGCAACAAAUCAGAAGUCAGGGAAUCAAGCUAAUUAAUUAAAAAAGUCUAAACUGAGUGAAAAGUCUAACUAUAAAUAAUAGAUUUUAACUUGUUAUGUCUUUUCAGAGUCUUGGUUUUCUCAACGUUUGGGAAGGCAAGUGUUUCUUAUUUGUCACACAAUUGUAAUUGCAUUAAAAAAUUCAAUGAUUUCUCAAAUGUCAUAUUUUUUUACAAAGAAAUGACGGAACUUUGACAUUUCAAUUUCAGACAAGAAAAAUAACAAUAACAAAAGAAGUCCUUUUGGCUGUCACUGACAAGCUUCGAGCCACAACCAAAACAAAAGACAACGAUGAAGGUGACGAGAAAGACACUUUCUGGGGCGAGGUGUGUCAGGAGCUUGGAAUAUCCGAUUCCAAGACCAAUAGGACACGGCUUCAUCAUGCCUAUAAUCAUCAUAAAAAGAUGAGACACAAGACACAGAUGGUGACCGCAGCACCUGCCAGCCCAUCGACAGACAGUGACCACACGGCCUGCCCCAUCGACAGUGACCACAGUUCCACUGACAUUGACCGCACAGUGCCUGCUACCCCAUCGUCGGUUAGACAGGCAUUCACAGAGACGAGUGAACCAGAAGACGUUUCAGAGUGUAAUUCAUCAGGGACAUAUGACUCCUCAUCACACUCAAAAGAUGGGCAACUCUUACACUCAUUUAAAUUGCCUUCAAAUCCUUCAUUUUUUUUUGUCACUAAAAGUGACUGGAAGAAACUGAGGAUGAGACAACAUAAGCGUCGAUUCAAAUCUUUAAACUGGACUUCAGUCAUGGCCACUGGCAUCCGGAGUGUCCAC